GAUGAACGCUGGCGGCGUGCCUAAUACAUGCAAGUAGAACGCGGAAGGCAGGAGCUUGCUCUUUCCGGUUGAGUUGCGAACGGGUGAGUAACGCGUGGGUAACCUGCCUGGUAGCGGGGGAUAACUAUUGGAAACGAUAGCUAAUACCGCAUAACUGUACGUGUUUCAUGGCACCUAUUUUAAAUGGGCAAUUUCUCCACUACCAGAUGUACCUGAGUUGUAUUAGCUAGUUGGUGAGGUAACGUCGCACCAAGCAGACGAUACGUAGCCGACCUGAGAGGGUGAUCGGCCAUACUUGGACUGAGACACGGCCCAGACUCCUUCGGGAGGCAGCAGUAGGGAAUCUUCGGCAAUGGACGGAAGUCUGACCGAGCAACGCCGCGUGGGUGAAGAAGGUUUGCGGAUCGUAAAGCUCUGUUGUAAGAGAAGAACGAGUGUGAGAGUGGAAAGUUCACAAUGUGACGGUAUCUUACCAGAAAGGGACGGCUAACUACGUG
RNAcentral lists this ribosomal RNA (497 nucleotides) under uncultured bacterium. RNAcentral describes it as "partial 16S ribosomal RNA". It matches the Rfam family "Bacterial small subunit ribosomal RNA", at positions 28 to 507 of the family's 1533-position model. The record is from RNAcentral.